UGGGGAAUAUUGGACAAUGGGCGCAAGCCUGAUCCAGCAAUGCCGCGUGAGUGAUGAAGGCCUUAGGGUUGUAAAGCUCUUUCGCCCGCGACGAUGAUGACGGUAGCGGGAGAAGAAGCCCCGGCUAACUCCGUGCCAGCAGCCGCGGUAAUACGGAGGGGGCUAGCGUUGUUCGGAAUUACUGGGCGUAAAGGGCGCGCAGGCGGCUGCUCAAGUCAGGCGUGAAAGGCCUGGGCUCAACCCGGGAAUUGCGCUUGAGACUGGGCUGGCUUGAGUGCGGGAGAGGAUGGUGGAAUUCCCAGUGUAGAGGUGAAAUUCGUAGAUAUUGGGAAGAACACCGGUGGCGAAGGCGGCCAUCUGGACCGCAACUGACGCUGAGGCGCGAAAGCGUGGGGAGCAAACAGGAUUAGAUACCCUGGUAGUCCACGCCGUAAACGAUGAGUGCUAGACGUUGGGGAGCCUAGCUUUCCGGUGUCGCAGCUAACGCAUUAAGCACUCCGCCUGGGGAGUACGGCCGCAAGGUUAA
RNAcentral lists this ribosomal RNA (526 nucleotides) under uncultured Skermanella sp. Its description in RNAcentral is "bacterial SSU rRNA". It matches the Rfam family "Bacterial small subunit ribosomal RNA", at positions 355 to 897 of the family's 1533-position model. The record is from RNAcentral. Lineage: Bacteria; Pseudomonadati; Pseudomonadota; Alphaproteobacteria; Rhodospirillales; Azospirillaceae.